This is a non-coding RNA of Myodes glareolus (Bank vole), 3034 nucleotides long. Lineage: Eukaryota; Metazoa; Chordata; Mammalia; Rodentia; Cricetidae. The record is from RefSeq and is a predicted model, not a curated record.
UUUUAUUAUUUAUUUACUUUUUAAUUAAUUCUUUUUUUUUUAAAAAAAACAAUUUUUCUCAUUUUACAUACCACUCCCUUUUGGAGUGGGGUCUACAGUCACAAGGACAAGCUGCCCGUGGUGCAAACAUGCUUUUCCCACGGAGGCUUAUGGACAACAGCUGGAGUAAACUCACUUCUAUCUCAUACACCUGGGGGGAACAGGAAACCACAUUCCAAGAACAAUUCUGUGUUUUUGAGGAAACUGAGGUCACAAGAUUCUUAUUUUCUUGGAAUUUUCUCGCAAGCAUUCAUAAUUGUUCUGACAGGAUUCUUCUGUUCUUGAACCAUGUUCCAACUACUAACUAGGGACAAAUAGUGCUUUCCUCAAGACGUCUGCCCGAAUAUGAUCUCAAUAAAUCUAAAUAAAUAAAUAAAUGAUCUCAAUUGCAUUUAAAAAUUCCUUUGCUUUUGUGGCAUGUUGUAGCACUGUAAUUACAUUUAUUAUUUAUCUUCAGCAACUUAGACAUCUUAGAUGUCAAUAUCUUCCCCACUAAACUACCAGGCUUUUGGGUUUAGGAGAUGUGUUGGUCACCUUUCUCCAGAUAGAGCAGGUUAGAGAAGUACCAGGACAUGACAGUCCUGUCAGAGCCCAUCGCUGUGAAUCUGGUCGGAGUUCGAGCCUAUUUUUGCUCCUGCAAGGUUACAACAGAUUUGACCCAGGGUGUGGAUGCCUAUAGGGUGCUUGGCCUAGGGUGUGGUUGCUGCACAUCCUGCCUAAACAACAGAAUACUCAACUCAAGAUAUUUUAGGUAUUAAAGAGGUAAUUUCUGUGUUUGUUCUUUGUGUCUGGUGAAGUCUUUUGCCUCCCCACUCCCCUUUUGGAGUGGGGUAUAUAAAGUGAAUUCUUAAUUCACUGGGUUGCCCUCUUGCCUCUGUUUACUUCUUUUGUAUCUCUGUUUUGUCUGCCGAACAUUUCUAAUCCACUCGCCUUUACCCUGGACUGUUCAAACCCAUUGAGGCUGGGCCCUGACAGAUGGUGCUGGAUGUGUGAUACAAUGGUGGAGAAUAUAAUGGAUCCCGCGCAUGAAUAUCACACCGCAGGUGUAGAGAUUCCACACAAAUGUGUGUUCAACAUGACGGGCAAGAAGACGGCCCCCUUUCUAGUUGCACCCUGUUUCCCAGGACAAAUGGCUCUCUGCACUGGACCCGGUCUCUAUGCGCGGCAGGGGACCUGCCCAAGGUUAUGCUGCACCUAGGAGGAGGAGAAUGAAGCCUGAUGGCUUUCUCAACGUCUGGUCUGGUGUGUGAAGCAGAAUAAUACCAGCCCUGAUGGCCCAGAAGCUGCUGAGGCCUUCCCAGAGGAGUUGGAGUGAGAUUGCUUAACUCCUGCUCCUGACCCUCUGAAGUCAUCAGCUUCAGUCUGAGAACAAAGGUUGUGAUGAGGGUUGGUGAUUCCCAGCUUCUCGGUGAACCUACUGCAAAACUUCCAGACCUUAGUGAAUCUUAUUUACUUUGGAGCCAGCCCAAGAAUGCUGACUGCAUAUCUAGCCUUGUAUCUACCCCAUAUCUUGCGGCAUAGAAGUUAAGUUUGCUGGUAUGGUAUUCAGUCUGCUUAGGACUUGAGAACUGGGACUUCAGAAAUUUUCCCUCUGGGGGAAAGAGACUUGUUAAAGCCUCUUUAAUGGAACACUAUUAUGGAGGCAAUGUGUGAGAACGAAGAGGAGUGGCGUGUAAGUUUUUGCGGCUGCUUAGAGACUGGAACUGAAAUUACCUGGCGCGAGUGAGAAGGAAGCAUGGAACACGCAACAAACCCGUUUAGGAGUUUAUUAGAGGGGGCGUGCACAGGCCUGGGGAAGUCAGUGUGCAGAGAGAGUGAGAGAGGCGGGUGUGUGUUCAGCUUUUAAAAGCUGCCUAGCACAUUCGCACAGGGAGUUGACGUGACUAUAUCGUACACACAUGCGCCCAAGGGCUUAGCUGAAUCAUAUGUGAAUGACGCAACCACACCACACAUGGGUCACAUAGGGCCCUUUAACAUCCCUGGAGCCAUUAGGCACUUCUGCUGAGGGCUUGUCUGCACACGCACAAGUCUUUUUGUGGCUGAAAUCAUAACAGGGACAGUUUGAACUUACCUUCAAAAGUUAAAGGCAGCAAUGAAUUGGACUAUAAGAGAGAAAAAAAUGACUCAUAGCCUACCCAUCACAGAAACCUUUUCUUGUUUUUCAAUUGGAAUGAAUUUAUGAGAAUUGUAACUUGACAAAUUGUGUAUUUAUUAUUAAUUUUCAUAUAGAAUAUUAUGGUAUGGACUUGUUAAUGUUUGUAACUACUUUGGCUCACAAUGGAGACGUUACUUGUUAGAAAAAAGUAGAGCUUAUCUGAGAAAAAUUUCACAUGAUGUCAAUGAGUCCUUCUAUUUAAUAUGUUUAAUAAGACAAAUUUGGAUUUUAAUGCAGCUAAAAACUGUUAAAGACUCCUAGAUCAAUUUAAAAAGGCCAUCUUAUCUUGGUCAUCCUCUACUCCCUUAUUAGGAGAUAUUGUGGCCUUAGGGACAUGUGUAUUCACAAAGCAUUAUCUGCUUCCUUAUGAUUGUCUAGUUAUUUGUGAACUCUCUCGAUGGAAAGUUGUCUCAGAGGAGUACAGCAUCUAGCUAUGCACCCUCCUCUAGCCCUUUAUUAAAAGAAUAUGGUAAUCAAUGAUGGGUAAGAUCUUUUUCCCUCUAGGAAACCUGAGAUAGGACAUGUAUAAUGGGAUGCAUGUACCAAUGACAGAUAAGUUUAGAAGGUGGAUGAAGACAGCCUAAGCUAGGCACAGUUGUUUGUCCUGUAGCAGAAGCAAGACUUUAAUAAAUAAAUUAAAAAGGGGAGGGGAAUAUGUUGGAGCUCAGGAAUGUGGAUUCAUUCCACCUUGACCAAAGGUCAGAGAGUUUAAGACUAUUCUUGCUCCUGCAAGGUUACAAUAGGAGAUUUGGCCCAGAGUGUGGUUGCCUACAGGAUACUUGACCUAGGGUGUGGUUGCUGCAUGUCUUGCCUAAACAACAGAAUACUUAACUCAAGAUG